This 253-nucleotide ribosomal RNA is filed under the name uncultured bacterium. RNAcentral describes it as "partial 16S ribosomal RNA". It matches the Rfam family "Bacterial small subunit ribosomal RNA", at positions 524 to 776 of the family's 1533-position model. The record is from RNAcentral.
UACGGAGGAUCCAAGCGUUAUCCGGAUUCACUGGGUUUAAAGGGUGUGUAGGCGGAAUAUUAAGUCAGUGGUGAAAUCCUAUAGCUUAACUAUAGAACUGCCAUUGAAACUGAUGUUCUUGAAUGUGGUUGAGGUAAGCGGAAUGUGUAGUGUAGCGGUGAAAUGCUUAGAUAUUACACAGAACACCGAUUGCGAAGGCAGCUUGCUAAGCCAUGAUUGACGCUGAGACACGAAAGCGUGGGGAUCAAACAGG